RNAcentral lists this microRNA precursor (91 nucleotides) under Choloepus hoffmanni (Hoffmann's two-fingered sloth). RNAcentral's name for it is "microRNA 1296 (ENSCHOG00000014853.1)". It matches the Rfam family "mir-1296 microRNA precursor family". The record is from RNAcentral. Lineage: Eukaryota; Metazoa; Chordata; Mammalia; Pilosa; Megalonychidae.
CCUACCUAACUGGGUUAGGGCCCUGGCUCCAUCUCCUUUAGGAAAAUCUUCUGUGGGGAGUGGGGCUUUGACCCUAACCCAGCUGGGCUGU